CUGAAAACAGAAUAAUGAUGGUUUACGUGCAUUUGUAAUUGACUUGAGUUCUUUCUCUUGCUGAAAUUCUGCGGUAGUUGAUGCUUUUUGUUAGCAGCUGGGGACCAAUGGUCCUGUGACUGGAUUGUGAAUAUAGCUAGGAAGCACCAACACUGACACUGUGAUACAACAAUUUCGAAAAUAUAUAUGAAUUUAGCAAAAAGAAAACAACUCAAGGGCAUGGCUGAUGGUGGGCAAUGAGCAUGGCUUCACAAGAAAUUAUUUGAGAAAAAAAAAAAGAUUAACAGAGUGGUGAACUGAUGAUGGCUUUAUAGAGAGAGAGGGAGGUGCUGGGAGGUCUGGUGGUGCUCUGUGAGGCUGUGCAGCGGCGCUAAGGCUCCAAAGUUCAACCACUGCAAAGCCAAAGAACCUUUUGAUUCCCAGUCUCUUAGAUUCUCCUCAAUUUUUCGAGGUUUUGUUAGGGGCAACAAAUCGCUGCGAUUCACUGCUAGAAGUGUCCUGAACAUGUCUCGUCGUGUUGGGAAGUGUCUCGGCUAUGUCCAAAGAUAAUAAAGAGAUAUAGGGGAGUGUCGGCCCACGUUGGUAUCCGACUUGUAACAUCAACACUUCAGUCUUCCAGAAGUGUUAUGUGUUUCCUAGGAGUAUAGUGUUCCUGUCCAGUGAUUUUUAUCAUUAGAAAUUGCAACUGUUACAAUGCCUCAUUGUUCUUUUGUGGAGAUUAUUUCAUGUUGAGUUCUUUUAAAUGAGCAAAUGGACGAAGCUCUGAAAAUUGAUGCGACUAAUGCAUUUUUAUGUAUUAUUUAUUAAAGAUGUUUUAUCUUAUGCAAAGCACUAAAUUGCC
This is a long non-coding RNA of Malania oleifera, 841 nucleotides long. RefSeq lists it as uncharacterized. The record is from RefSeq and is a predicted model, not a curated record. NCBI's taxonomy places the organism in Eukaryota, Viridiplantae, Streptophyta, Magnoliopsida, Santalales, Ximeniaceae. The transcript is spliced from 2 exons.